CAAAAUAAAUUUUUGUUAAAUGAUUCUGUCGUAUUUCAUCCAUUUUGUUCACCAGUGACUGUACGUUAACGAGGAAAAGGCUAGGUAGUGAAGGCUGUUGGGGGGCUAGCAUUAGCCUAGCUGGGAUGCCUCCACGCUUCCCACGCCUUUGUUACAAAUGGCAUCUCCUGGAGCAUCUUCUUAAUCUCCGGUGGAAGUUGGAAGUUGUCAAAAACUCUUUCUGUGCAAUUUCCAGGAGUUCUUGUCGACUGUAUAAAGUGUACACUAGGCUACACUGAGUGAAUAAGCUAAUUUACUGUUAAGUAAAUUACUGCUAAUUUGCUUAAUAGUUCUUAGCUUAUUCACUACCUGAUAGUAACGCUUGCGGCCGAUCUGCGCUUUAUUUCAGAGUCAACCUAUUUGAGUGAUUGUCCUUGCUAAUGUUAUUCUCCUCUGUUCAGAGAUCCACCACAUCAUGCCUACAACCUCGUCCUCCUGCCUGCCCGCCAGCCUACCUGCUCUGCCCAUGCUGCCUGCCAUCCCUGCCGCCCUGUCUGCCUUACCCCUCUGGCCAACCCUACUACCCCGCCUACCAGCCCAGCCCUCACCCCCCCGGCCUUGCCUCAGUCCUGAUACCUGCAUUACACCCUGAGUUUAGUUGCUUGGGUCCACUAGAGAAUGAACCACCACAAAGGGACACGGCAGAAAUGGACGGUAGAGGAACUCCUCGGUUGGCCUGACAGCGACACUGAGGAGGAGGAGGAGAACCCCUACCGUCCCCUGCGGCACACCGGGCCAACACAGCGUCCACCCACAAGGAGACGUCGAAAGAGGCGACGGAAGCAAACCUCCGUGUGUCCGCCCCAAGAAUUUCUGGCUGCGUGGGGGCGAGCGGAGUGGCAGGACACGGCCGUGCCACCCGUGCUCACGUGUGGGGUAGUCCAGGUGCCCCAGCCCUGCCCGGUGCCAGCUCCUAGGCGUCGGGCAACAACGCCGGUGGGGCCUAUGAGGGCUUUCCCUGAUGUAGGGAGAUGCGAGGACUGGUGGGGCUAUCGGGACCCGCCGUACCGGUUCUCGCAGCCAGCGCCCCCCGCUGCCUGGGAGCCGCCGCCAGCGCCCCACGCUGCCCGGGAGCCGCAGCCAGCGC
This is a long non-coding RNA of Esox lucius (northern pike), 1126 nucleotides long. Lineage: Eukaryota; Metazoa; Chordata; Actinopteri; Esociformes; Esocidae. The record is from Ensembl.